GAGAGUGUGGCGAAAAUGGUAAACGUUGCGGACUUAAAAUCCGUUGUCUUUGACUUGUAGGUUCGACUCCUAUCACUUUCA
This 81-nucleotide transfer RNA is filed under the name Lactococcus garvieae. RNAcentral describes it as "tRNA-Leu". It matches the Rfam family "tRNA". From Rfam's summary of the family: Transfer RNA (tRNA) molecules are approximately 80 nucleotides in length. Their secondary structure includes four short double-helical elements and three loops (D, anti-codon, and T loops). RNAcentral also lists the same sequence under 1 other name. Lineage: Bacteria; Bacillati; Bacillota; Bacilli; Lactobacillales; Streptococcaceae. The record is from RNAcentral.